This 425-nucleotide RNase P RNA is filed under the name Defluviicoccus vanus. Its description in RNAcentral is "Bacterial RNase P class A". It matches the Rfam family "Bacterial RNase P class A". Rfam says of the family: Ribonuclease P (RNase P) is a ubiquitous endoribonuclease, found in archaea, bacteria and eukarya as well as chloroplasts and mitochondria. Lineage: Bacteria; Pseudomonadati; Pseudomonadota; Alphaproteobacteria; Rhodospirillales; Rhodospirillaceae. The record is from Rfam by way of RNAcentral.
CCAGACGGCCGGAUGGCCGCCUUCGUUUGGCCUUGCGCCAGCGGGGAGGAAAGUCCGGGCUCCACGGAAACACGGUGCCGGGUAACGCCCGGCGGGGGCGACCCCAGGGAAAGUGCCACAGAAAGCAAACCGCCGGCCAGGGCGCGUCAAUGCGGGCGAUCGACCGUAGCGCGACGGCCUGUCGGCAAGGGUGAAAGGGUGCGGUAAGAGCGCACCGCGCCUCCGGCAACAGAGGCGGCAUGGUAAACCCCACCGGGAGCAAGACCAAGUAGGGACGGUACGCCGGCUUCGCGCCGGCAAGCGCGUUUCCGCGCCGCCGUCCGGGUCGGUCGCGCGAGGCGCCCGGUAACGGGCGCCCCAGAUGAAUGGCCAUCACCCACCCUGAAGGGUGGGUACAGAACCCGGCUUACAGGCCGUCUGGCAUU